GAUGAACGCUAGCGAUAGGCUUAACACAUGCAAGUCGAGGGGCAGCACAAGGUAGCUUGCUAUUUGGGUGGCGACCGGCGCACGGGUGCGUAACGCGUAUGCAACUUGCCCUAUACAGGAGGAUAACCCGUCGAAAGACGGACUAAUACUGCGUAUGCUCACAACUUGGCAUCAAGUGGUGAGGAAAGAAAUUCGGUAUAGGAUAGGCAUGCGUCCCAUUAGCUUGUUGGUGAGGUAACGGCUCACCAAGGCAACGAUGGGUAGGGGAACUGAGAGGUUUAUCCCCCACACUGGUACUGAGACACGGACCAGACUCCUACGGGAGGCAGCAGUGAGGAAUAUUGGUCAAUGGGCGCGAGCCUGAACCAGCCAAGUCGCGUGAAGGAUGACUGUCUUAUGGAUUGUAAACUUCUUUUAUACGGGAAUAACAAGAGUCACGUGUGACUCCCUGCAUGUACCGUAUGAAUAAGCAUCGGCUAACUCCGUG
RNAcentral lists this ribosomal RNA (487 nucleotides) under uncultured bacterium. RNAcentral's name for it is "partial 16S ribosomal RNA". It matches the Rfam family "Bacterial small subunit ribosomal RNA", at positions 28 to 507 of the family's 1533-position model. The record is from RNAcentral.